GGGAUCUUGGUCUAGUGGUAUGAUUCUCGCUUUGGGUGCGAGAGGUCCGGGGUUCGAUUCCCCGAGGUCCCC
Molecule: transfer RNA, 72 nt
Filed under: Monosiga brevicollis
Lineage: Eukaryota; Choanoflagellata; Craspedida; Salpingoecidae
Rfam family: tRNA
About the family: Transfer RNA (tRNA) molecules are approximately 80 nucleotides in length. Their secondary structure includes four short double-helical elements and three loops (D, anti-codon, and T loops). Further hydrogen bonds mediate the characteristic L-shaped molecular structure. tRNAs have two regions of fundamental functional importance: the anti-codon, which is responsible for specific mRNA codon recognition, and the 3' end, to which the tRNAs corresponding amino acid is attached (by aminoacyl-tRNA synthetases). tRNAs cope with the degeneracy of the genetic code in two manners: having more than one tRNA (with a specific anti-codon) for a particular amino acid; and 'wobble' base-pairing, i.e. permitting non-standard base-pairing at the 3rd anti-codon position.
Source: Rfam by way of RNAcentral